Molecule: ribosomal RNA, 575 nt
Filed under: Aspergillus janus
Lineage: Eukaryota; Fungi; Ascomycota; Eurotiomycetes; Eurotiales; Aspergillaceae
Description: eukaryotic LSU rRNA
Rfam family: Eukaryotic large subunit ribosomal RNA
Source: RNAcentral
AAAGAAACCAACCGGGAUUGCCUCAGUAACGGCGAGUGAAGCGGCAAGAGCUCAAAUUUGAAAGCUGGCUCCUUCGGGGUCCGCAUUGUAAUUUGCAGAGGAUGCUUCGGGCGCGGCCCCCGUCUAAGUGCCCUGGAACGGGCCGUCGGAGAGGGUGAGAAUCCCGUCUGGGACGGGGUGUCCGUGUCCGUGUGAAGCUCCUUCAACGAGUCGAGUUGUUUGGGAAUGCAGCUCUAAUUGGGUGGUAAAUUUCAUCUAAAGCUAAAUAUUGGCCGGAGACCGAUAGCGCACAAGUAGAGUGAUCGAAAGAUGAAAAGCACUUUGAAAAGAGAGUUAAACAGCACGUGAAAUUGUUGAAAGGGAAGCGCUUGCGACCAGACUCGCUCGCGGGGUUCAGCGGGCCUUCGGGCCCGUGUACUUCCCCGUGGGCGGGCCAGCGUCGGUUUGGGCGGCCGGUCAAAGGCCUCCGGAAUGUAGCACCCUUCGGGGUGCCUUAUAGCCGGGGGUGCAAUGCGGCCUGCCUGGACCGAGGAACGCGCUUCGGCACGGACGCUGGCAUAAUGGUCGUAAGCGAC